AUUGAACGCUGGCGGCAUGCCUUACACAUGCAAGUCGAACGGCAGCACGGGCUUCGGCCUGGUGGCGAGUGGCGAACGGGUGAGUAAUACAUCGGAACGUGCCCUGUCGUGGGGGAUAACUAGUCGAAAGAUUAGCUAAUACCGCAUACGACCUGAGGGUGAAAGCGGGGGACCGGUAACGGCCUCGCGCGACAGGAGCGGCCGAUGUCUGAUUAGCUAGUUGGUGGGGUAAAAGCCUAC
RNAcentral lists this ribosomal RNA (240 nucleotides) under Cupriavidus sp. RNAcentral describes it as "partial 16S ribosomal RNA". It matches the Rfam family "Bacterial small subunit ribosomal RNA", at positions 30 to 268 of the family's 1533-position model. Lineage: Bacteria; Pseudomonadati; Pseudomonadota; Betaproteobacteria; Burkholderiales; Burkholderiaceae. The record is from RNAcentral.